UACGAAGGGGGCUAGCGUUGUUCGGAAUUACUGGGCGUAAAGAGCGCGUAGGCGGUCUAUCAAGUUGGAAGUGAAAUCCCAGAGCUUAACUUUGGAAUAGCUUUCAAAACUGAUAAACUAGAGAGCGAUAGAGGAUGGUGGAAUUCCUAGUGUAGAGGUGAAAUUCUUAGAUAUUCGCAAGAACACCAGUGGCGAAGGCGGCUCACUGGCCCGAUACUGACGCUGAGGUGCGAAAGCGUGGGGAGCAAACAGG
This 253-nucleotide ribosomal RNA is filed under the name uncultured bacterium. RNAcentral describes it as "partial 16S ribosomal RNA". It matches the Rfam family "Bacterial small subunit ribosomal RNA", at positions 524 to 776 of the family's 1533-position model. The record is from RNAcentral.